This 264-nucleotide ribosomal RNA is filed under the name Pedobacter frigidisoli. RNAcentral's name for it is "Pedobacter sp. RP-3-11 partial 16S ribosomal RNA". It matches the Rfam family "Bacterial small subunit ribosomal RNA", at positions 1268 to 1533 of the family's 1533-position model. The record is from RNAcentral. Lineage: Bacteria; Pseudomonadati; Bacteroidota; Sphingobacteriia; Sphingobacteriales; Sphingobacteriaceae.
CGAAUCUCACAAAGCCGUUCACAGUUCGGAUUGGGGUCUGCAACUCGACCCCAUGAAGUUGGAUUCGCUAGUAAUCGCGUAUCAGCAAUGACGCGGUGAAUACGUUCCCGGGCCUUGUACACACCGCCCGUCAAGCCAUGGAAGUUGGGGGUACCUAAAGUAUGUAACCGCAAGGAGCGUCCUAGGGUAAAACCGAUAACUGGGGCUAAGUCGUAACAAGGUAGCCGUACCGGAAGGUGCGGCUGGAAUACCUCCUUUCUGGAG